Motacilla alba alba is the source of this 2522-nucleotide long non-coding RNA. RefSeq lists it as uncharacterized. The record is from RefSeq and is a predicted model, not a curated record. The transcript has 3 exons. NCBI's taxonomy places the organism in Eukaryota, Metazoa, Chordata, Aves, Passeriformes, Motacillidae.
GCGGGACGGGAUCGCUCAGCCCCCGCCGCCCCGCACCCCGCCGCUAUUUAUAGCCCGCGGGCCCGGCCGGCCGGCGGGCACACGCGUGUCCCUGCCUGCCUCCCUCCCUCCGUGUUCGUGCACCGCCACAAUAACGCUGCCUUUCACAGGAAGUAGAGAAGCAGAGAGUGGGUGAAAGCAAGCAAGGAAGGAAACUGAAAGCAAGCAAGCAAGGAAACUGAAGAGACCCAGAACUGUGUUGCAUCCAUUGCUUUUUGCAAUGAGACCUCAACUCUGCCCUCUGGGUGCUGUAACACGGCAGAGCCCUCACCUGCAUUGCAUGCACACUGGAAGUGAGUAUGGAGGACUCCUGGACAGAGUCUAAUGUUUCCCUUGCUGUGGCAAAGCACAAGAUUCCUUCUGUGUAAUGGCCUAGCUGACCUCUCCCAGUGACCAGGAGAUCACACCACAAGGCUGCGGACAAUUCCUGCAGACAGAUUGGCCAAACCUCUGCUGGUGAACCAAAUAACCCACACGCCAUCUCUCAAUGUAGACCUUGCAGUGUAUCACGAUAUCAGCUUUCCCAAGCUACUCUGACAGACAAUCAAUACAGCUACAGUCAACACAGUUAAUACACUCAGAAUAGAUGCAGAUAAAUGCUGGAUUUCCAAUUUGUUGUCUGUGAUUCUAAUAAUAGCACACCCAAAGAGAGUGUCUAUUUAUUAGGCUCCUCAGUUUUUGCCAUGCCAUUUCCAGGAGCUAAUGCUAGCAGCUCACAGUUAAGACCGUGUUGGAAAGGGACGUUUUAGCAUUUCAUUGUUGACUUCUUAGGCAUUGCAGUCCUAUGACUAUUGGAAUUUUCUAGAAGAACAGGGAGUUACCACACCACCUGUGCAGCAGCACAUGUUGUAAACACUAAAUAAUAGUGAAAGGAGGCAGUUCAGUGCAAACAGUGCUCUAUGGUUCAGUAUAAGAGAGCGUGCUGUACACAAGGAGAUUGCAGUCUAAAUGAGGAACUGUACAAAGAAGAACAAUUAGAAGAGAGGAAGAAGGAUGGACAAAGUAAGUUACCAAAUUUCACUGUGGGUGGGACAGAUACAUCUUGCUAUUUUCAGCUUUUAAAUCAAACCGGCAUCUUGUAUUUAAAGACUAUUAGUAAUUACUGCAGGAUCUUCAGUCCUGGAAGAAGAACCAGGAGAUUUUCAGUCUGGAUAAGCUUCAUGGCUCACGGCUUUAGGGGUAUUAGAGGCCACAGGCUACAGAGAGCACACGAGCAAGUGACUGUGUCUAGCCUCAAGUCAAAGGAAGAUGUUUUUUUUCCUCACGUGUAGGAGGAUUACCCUUGGAAUUUGAUGUCCAAAGGAAAAUUUCUGGUCUGCACAAAGUGCAAGGAGUUGGAUGGAGGAUUUAUCUGGAAUUUAGCCAAAGCAAAAAGUACUAUCAAAGGCCUGACAAACUGGUAAUAUGGUGAGAGGUGACUGUCCUACAUCUCACCUCCCCAAACCGAGGGCAAGCUAGGCUUCCCAAAGCUUUGCCCAUGCCACACACAGAAUGUCAAAUGGUGUGGAGUUGCUGUCAACAUAAUGAACUAGCUUCUGAAAGAGACUCUUAUGCAGCAGCCUUGGAUAUGAUGUCCCUAAAGUAGGCUUUAGCGUACUUCAGGCUGAGUUUGUUUCUGCUGAUUUCUCUAACAAAUGUUAUCAUACACAUAUGCCACUCUUUUGUCAGAGGACCUUACAUGACAGAAAGCCCUUUGCAGGUUUAUUUCUACCUCUGCUGCAUUGUACUCAAAAAUUUCAGACAUGCCAUUUUGGGAAACUCAUUCAAGACAUAAUCUCUUUCAGACUACAAGUAAAUCUAGCCUGCUUCCCCCUCGUCUUUUUUUUUUGUAUAAUACCUUGCAGUACCUGUGUCUUGCCUGUUCCUGUGCAGGGGGAGAGAUGAACAGAGAGGGAAAUGUUACCUUCUGACCUGCAUGAUGAGGGCAUUCCCUGUCUAUUUAAAAUGAGAUGAAGGGGCUUGAAGACUGAAUUACUGAAGUUAAACAAUGGUGGCUGUAGGCCUGGUCCUCCCAUGCCUCGUUAUUUGAGGAGGCGUUCCUUGUGACACACCAGUUUGUCACUAUGGAGUAAUCCAGUAUCUCCCCUCUGCAUGCUGUAGGGACAGCACUGGGACAUCUCCUUACUGGCUGGCUUUCCCCCUCCCCAUCAGAGAAAGGAAUGGGAAGCGGAAAAUAAUCCAGGGAGCAGGGGAAGACUCACUUCUGCAACCAUGCCCCUUGUUUCAGUGUGGUUUGUAAUGACUGGUGGAAGAGCCCUUGACUGUGGCAGCUGGUCACAGCCCAUGGUGGGUGAAGGUCUGACAGCAUUGCCCAGACACCUGGAAGGCAAGGGUUGCAGGAGAAGACCAUGGGCUUACAAGGCAGGCAGAAUGAGGGUUGUCUCCCCGAUCCUGAUAUCACUUAGGACCAUCUUCAUAAAUUCACUUUUGUCAAAUUCAUUCUUGGCUGAACUCCAUAUCCUGGAAAUUUAUAAACUGACUCC